Molecule: RNA transcript, 1980 nt
Organism: Orcinus orca (killer whale)
Lineage: Eukaryota; Metazoa; Chordata; Mammalia; Artiodactyla; Delphinidae
Gene: ERLEC1
Gene name: endoplasmic reticulum lectin 1
Exons: 15
Source: RefSeq, a predicted model, not a curated record
GGGAAGUCCAAGGGAGCGGGGGCGGUGUUGCUGAGCUCUCAGGAAGGAGACGUGGCGGCUGUUGGGGCCCGGGUUCCCUGAGCGCUUGGUAGUCCCGCCGCCUCCUCCUCCUCCUCCUCCUCCUUCCCCCUCUCCUCUCCACUGUGGGCCGAGGGGGUUGUGGCGGCGGCUGGAGAGCUCGGCGGCGGAGGAUGGAGGAAGGAGGCGGCGGCGCGCGGAGUCUGGUCCCAGGCGGGCCGCUGUUACUGGUACUCUGCGGUCUCCUAGAGGCGUCCGGCGGCGGCCGAGCGCUCCCCCAGCUCAGCGAUGACAUCCCUUUCCGCGUCAACUGGCCCGGCACCGAGUUCUCUCUGCCUACAACUGGAGUUUUGUAUAAAGAAGAUAAUUAUGUCAUCAUGACAACUACACAUAAAGAAAAAUAUAAAUGCAUUCUUCCCCUUGUGACAAGUGGUGAUGAGGAAGAAGAAAAGGAUUAUAAAGGCCCAAAUCCAAGAGAGCUAUUGGAGCCACUAUUUAAACAGAGCAGUUGUUCCUACAGAAUUGAGUCUUAUUGGACUUACGAAGUAUGUCACGGAAAACACAUUCGGCAGUACCAUGAAGAGAAAGAAAGUGGUCAGAAAGUAAAUAUUCACGAGUACUACCUUGGGAAUAUGUUGGCUAAGAAUCUUCUAUCCGAAAAAGAACAAGAAGCGGAAGAAAAGGAAAAAUCAAAAGAGAUUCCCACUAAAAAUAUCGAAGGUCAGAUGACACCCUACUAUCCAGUGGGAAUGGGAAAUGGUACACCUUGUAGUUUGAAACAGAACCGGCCCAGAUCAAGUACUGUGAUGUACAUAUGUCAUCCUGAAUCUAAGCAUGAAAUUCUUUCAGUAGCUGAAGUUACAACUUGUGAAUAUGAAGUUGUCAUUUUGACACCACUCUUGUGCAGUCAUCCUAAAUAUAGAUUCAGAGCAUCUCCUGUGAAUGACAUAUUUUGCCAGUCACUACCAGGAUCACCAUUUAAACCCCUCACCCUGAGACAGUUGGAACAGCAGGAAGAAAUACUGAGGGUGCCUUUUAGGAGAAAUAAAGAGGAAGAUAUGCAAUCAACUAAGGAAGAGAGAUUUCCAGCAAUCCACAAACCCAUUGCUGUUGGUUCUCAGCCAAUGCUCACAGUUGGAACAACCCACAUAUCCAAACUGACAGAUGACCAACUCAUAAAAGAGUUCCUUAGUGGUUCCUACUGCUUUCACGGGGGUGUUGGUUGGUGGAAAUAUGAAUUCUGCUAUGGCAAACAUGUACAUCAAUACCAUGAGGACAAGGAUAGUGGGAAAACCUCUGUGGUUGUGGGGACAUGGAACCAAGAAGAACAUAUUGAAUGGGCUAAGAAGAAUACUGCUAGAGCCUAUCACCUUCAAGACGAUGGUACCCAGACAGUCAGGAUGGUGUCACAUUUUUAUGGGAAUGGAGAUAUUUGUGAUAUAACUGACAAACCAAGACAGGUGACUGUAAAACUAAAGUGUAAAGAAUCAGAUUCUCCUCAUGCUGUUACUGUAUAUAUGCUAGAGCCUCACUCCUGUCAGUAUAUCCUUGGGAUUUUUCCCCUGAUGUCUUGACUAUUCUUUUUUCUUACUGUCUUUUGAUGAGCAAAAGUUUAUUUGAUGAAGUUCAUUUUAUCAAUUUUUUUCCCAUUUUAUUGCUAAUGAUUUUUUUGUUUUAAGAAAUUUUGCCACCCCAAAGUCAUGAAGGUUGAAUCUCCAGUGAUCUGUAAAAUCUUAGAUACAGCAGACGAAAAUGGACUUCUUUCUCUCCCCAACUAAAGGGUAACGAAGUUCAGGGGAAAAAAAAGAUCAUUGGAAGUCAUGAUGAUUUGUCUGACCAUAUGUCCCAUUAUAGAGCUCUCAGUCAUUGGACUGCAUCUAAAGGAUUGUAUAAAAGGACUCUCAACCACUUUGUGAAUAUGUAUGUGUACAUAAGAGGUUAUUGAUAAACUUCUAAGGCAGA